AGCCCAGCUUGCUGGGUGGAUUAGUGGCGAACGGGUGAGUAACACGUGAGUAACCUGCCCUUGACUCUGGGAUAAGCGUUGGAAACGACGUCUAAUACCGGAUACGAGCUUCCACCGCAUGGUGAGUUGCUGGAAAGAAUUUUGGUCAAGGAUGGACUCGCGGCCUAUCAGCUUGUUGGUGAGGUAAUGGCUCACCAAGGCGACGACGGGUAGCCGGCCUGAGAGGGUGACCGGCCACACUGGGACUGAGACACGGCCCAGACUCCUACGGGAGGCAGCAGUGGGGAAUAUUGCACAAUGGGCGAAAGCCUGAUGCAGCAACGCCGCGUGAGGGACNACGGCCUUCGGGUUGUAAACCUCUUUUAGCA
This 368-nucleotide ribosomal RNA is filed under the name bacterium V18. RNAcentral's name for it is "bacterial SSU rRNA". It matches the Rfam family "Bacterial small subunit ribosomal RNA", at positions 72 to 441 of the family's 1533-position model. The record is from RNAcentral.